ACACAUUCUAGCCAAUCAGCAGCAGACCCUCCCUCCCAGGCCCUCCCACCUCCUGGACAGCAUCCAUUUUGAAGCUGCAUUCUUAGUGAGCUGUCCAAGAGGUGGGAGGGUCUGGGAGGGAGGGUCUGCUGCUGAUUGGCUGGAAUGUGUCU
Molecule: microRNA precursor, 152 nt
Filed under: Pelobates cultripes (western spadefoot toad)
Lineage: Eukaryota; Metazoa; Chordata; Amphibia; Anura; Pelobatidae
Source: RNAcentral